GCGUAAGUGGUUCAGCGGUUAUCAUGGCUGCCUUUUAAGCAGUCGGUUCGGGUUCGACUCUCGACAUACGCA
RNAcentral lists this transfer RNA (72 nucleotides) under Taenia asiatica. It matches the Rfam family "tRNA". From Rfam's summary of the family: Transfer RNA (tRNA) molecules are approximately 80 nucleotides in length. Their secondary structure includes four short double-helical elements and three loops (D, anti-codon, and T loops). Lineage: Eukaryota; Metazoa; Platyhelminthes; Cestoda; Cyclophyllidea; Taeniidae. The record is from Rfam by way of RNAcentral.